This 444-nucleotide ribosomal RNA is filed under the name uncultured bacterium. Its description in RNAcentral is "bacterial SSU rRNA". It matches the Rfam family "Bacterial small subunit ribosomal RNA", at positions 29 to 516 of the family's 1533-position model. The record is from RNAcentral.
AACGAACGCUGGCGGCAUGCCUAACACAUGCAAGUCGAACGAGGCCCUUCGGGGUUUAGUGGCGCACGGGUGCGUAACGCGUGGGAAUCUGCCCUUUGGUUCGGAAUAACAGCUGGAAACGGCUGCUAAUACCGGAUGAUGACGAGAGUCCAAAGAUUUAUCGCCAGAGGAUGAGCCCGCGUUGGAUUAGGUAGUUGGUGGGGUAAAGGCCUACCAAGCCGACGAUCCAUAGCUGGUCUGAGAGGAUGAUCAGCCACACUGGGACUGAGACACGGCCCAGACUCCUACGGGAGGCAGCAGUGGGGAAUAUUGGACAAUGGGCGCAAGCCUGAUCCAGCAAUGCCGCGUGAGUGAUGAAGGCCCUAGGGAUGUAAAGCUCUUUUACCCGGGAAGAUAAUGACUGUACCGGGAGAAUAAGCCCCGGCUAACUCCGUGCCAGCAAAG